This 466-nucleotide ribosomal RNA is filed under the name uncultured bacterium. Its description in RNAcentral is "partial 16S ribosomal RNA". It matches the Rfam family "Bacterial small subunit ribosomal RNA", at positions 28 to 507 of the family's 1533-position model. The record is from RNAcentral.
GAUGAACGCUGGCGGCGUGCUUAACACAUGCCAGUCGAACGAUGAAGCCCAGCUUGCUGGGUGGAUUAGUGGCGAACGGGUGAGUAACACGUGAGUAACCUGCCCUUGACUCUGGGAUAAGCCUGGGAAGCUGGGUCUAAUACUGGAUAUGACUUCUCAUCGCAUGGUGGGGGGUGGAAAGAUUUAUUGGUCUUGGAUGGACUCGCGGCCUAUCAGCUUGUUGGUGAGGUAAUGGCUCACCAAGGCGACGACGGGUAGCCGGCCUGAGAGGGUGACCGGCCACACUGGGACUGAGACACGGCCCAGACUCCUACGGGAGGCAGCAGUGGGGAAUAUUGCACAAUGGGCGCAAGCCUGAUGCAGCGACGCCGCGUGAGGGAUGACGGCCUUCGGGUUGUAAACCUCUUUCAGUAGGGAAGAAGCGAGAGUGACGGUACCUGCAGAAGAAGCGCCGGCUAACUACGUG